CCUUGUUGGAUCUGGCUCGCUCCUUCCCCGGAGGCCCAGUGAAAUUUUAUGAAACGGUCGAGAUUCCAGGGGCUGACAAAACCCUUGCUUGUCCUUUGAGAUGACUCCCUGAGGCCGGGCUUGCUGUGAAGCCCCAGCGGGGAGCUGCGGGAGCCCUGGCACCUCUCGAGGUCUCACUGCUGGGGAUCCCCGUGUCUGCAGCCAGACUACUCUGCCGCCACCGGCCACAGCCGCAGCGAGCGUCCUCCUUUCCCUAGUCUGGGUGCCUCACGCCGGCCUGCUCGGGGUGAACUGUCGGUCGGAGCUGCGGCUCUCGCAGGCAGUGUACGCCUGCUCUUUGGGGUCAGCGAUCACUAGGCUUGAGCUGCAUCCGGGGGAGUAGAUGUAAGUAAAUGCUUGUAGACUCCUGGCAAAUCCUAGUUAGAAAUCCCUACAACACCCACUUUUCUAUCUGCCUGCCAAACUCUUUUGCUUUGGGGCCUUACUAGCCUAAGUCUCCUUCCCAGCCCUCUAAUCCCUUGCUGUGUGUCUUUGGCUGAGUUUAUUAACCUCUCUGGGGCUCAGUUUUUUCAACUUUGAAAAGAGGGUAAAGAUCCCCUGCUCCUAAGACGUUGGCUCUCUCUCCCCUAUAACGGCUGCAUUCCUGAAAGAAAGCCGACCUGCGCUAAGAGCUGAGAGACAGUGGGAAGAGUGCAGCACUUGGGGUCUGACAGCCCCAAUGUGGACUUCUCAGCCUGCGGUUUGCGACCUUCCUCGGGGCGGACUCCUCUAACCCCGCCCCUUCCGAUGCUACGGGGUCGCCGGGGAACAAGGGAUUGUGGGAAAGAAACAGCCUAGGAACCCGGAAGGGGCUGUGUCCCUGGGAGAGGCUGUGGUCCGUGCUGCCCUCCCAGGGCCGUGGGACGGACGCCCCGCAGCCUCCGAGUCUGCUCCUCACAGCUCCCCCGCAGCUCCAUCUCGCUGACCCCAGCACCGUCGGGUUUUCCCGAGCCCAGGUUCUUUCCUUUCUCUGUAUCCUAUCCCAAGCAGAGUCUUCGGUCAACCUGCUUGCAGGAGCAGGGCCCCCCUAGUCAUCCUGUCCUUGGCCACUUAGGGCAGGGGCAAGUGCCUUGAGUGCCUCAUGAGUAAUUCUCCAAGGGUCACCGCACCUACUCCGAGGCCGCCGUGUCGAUUAAAGAUGCCAACAUCACGUGUGAAGGAGGUCGAGCCGCGUCUGGCACAUAAUGGAUCCAGCAGCUCAGGUCUUGGAAGAUGAACAGGGACAGCCCUGGCUUAUCUGACGCCUUGACAACAGUGCAGCAUGGUCGCUGAGCCUCAGGACAGAGGCAGGUAGCAUCUAGAGAUGGCCAGGCUAUCCCAGAUCAGCAUCUGCUCACUGCUAAGCUUCCAGACCCUUCUGCUGCUGGGCCAAAGUGACCUUGAAGUCAAAAAUGGCCUCGUGUAAUAUGUAGCACUUGUGACCUGUUUUUAAAAAUGCACCAUGAACUGUGCACCCUGUCAUUAAAUAUGCCUUUU
Long non-coding RNA from Fukomys damarensis (Damara mole-rat), 1515 nucleotides. RefSeq lists it as uncharacterized. The record is from RefSeq and is a predicted model, not a curated record. Lineage: Eukaryota; Metazoa; Chordata; Mammalia; Rodentia; Bathyergidae. The transcript is spliced from 4 exons.